This 238-nucleotide ribosomal RNA is filed under the name uncultured bacterium. RNAcentral's name for it is "partial 16S ribosomal RNA". It matches the Rfam family "Bacterial small subunit ribosomal RNA", at positions 93 to 334 of the family's 1533-position model. The record is from RNAcentral.
GAGUGGCGGACGGGUGAGUAAGAUUUGGGAAUCUGCCCUGUAGAGGGGGACAACUUGGGGAAACUCAGGCUAAUACCGCAUACCUCUUACGAGAGAGAGCGGGGGACCUUCGGGCCUCGCGCUACAGGAUGAGCCCAAAUCCGAUUAGCUAGUUGGUAGGGUAAAGGCCUACCAAGGCAACGAUCGGUAGCCGGCCUGAAAGGGUGAACGGCCACACCGGGACUGAGACACGGCCCGG